This is a non-coding RNA of Caenorhabditis elegans, 122 nucleotides long. NCBI's taxonomy places the organism in Eukaryota, Metazoa, Nematoda, Chromadorea, Rhabditida, Rhabditidae. The record is from Ensembl.
GGCGGCCUCAUCAAAGGAGCCUAUUCAUAAGCGUAUGAUGAUCUGUGCGGUAGGAGCCCCUGGGGAGCAUCGGGGAGAAUAGUCUCGCGGAAACGAUCAUCCAUGAUUCGCGAUUUAUAGCC